UUUUUUUUUUGCACCAUAUGAUCAUAGACUAUGAAUUUUAUAAAUUAUUAUAUUUGUUAUAUUUAUUUCAGAUCCAGUCUAUGUCUGUGAUUUGGCCGCACUUUACAUUUCAGAUUACGGAAACGGUGGGACAACGUUUCUUGUUUGUGAUUGGACAGUCGUUUGUUUGCGUCUGGCGUCGGCACAGUCAGCGGCUGUAGACCCGGAAGUGAUGGUCCGCCAUUUUCUGCUUAAUGGAAGAUGCCCACACACGCUCCCGAAAUGCGUAUGGUUUGCGUCGCGUAUAGUUUUUCAAAUCAAUCAAACCGAGAAGCCACGGGAAGUUUUUAUCGAGUCUUACCAAUGAUGUUGUUUUUGACGGAGAAUAUGCAAGAAAGUGACCGAAAAAACGCCGAGAGAAGCGGUUUAGCCUUCAUCUGCGGUCGGAGGAGCGGAGGGGGAUAUUCCGCAGGUGUGCAGUGACCGCCUCACUAAAGGUAAGACUGAGCUGCUGCAGUGUUAUUAGAGAGGAGAGGACAGGAUGAAGUCCAGAGACCAUCAGCACAGACUCAGAGAAGGUUCACAGGCCUCAGUGGAUCUUCAUGAGUCUGAGACGUUCAGGAUCCACCAGUUGCCACACUGCUGAGACAGAUGAGGUGAAUCUGAACCUGAGAGCUGGAGAACAUGUUACACCGGUCCAGACCUUCAGCUGCUGCCGUCACCUCCUCCUCCUGCAGAGACACAACAACAUGUUAAUGACACAAACUGACUCAGAAACCUGAUUCUCCUACUCUGAACUGUCUUUACUCCUUCGUAUUUAAUUACAUUUUGCUGAUAAAAAUUAAUCAACUAGUUUUCUACAAAUCAGUGGUUUGUUUUCUUUCUAAAGCUCCAAGAGUCCUGACGUUAAACAUAAACUAACAGUAUUAUAAAUAGAAUUAAGAAAGGAGAAGACUAAUUAUAUCUAUAAUACGUCAGGACUAUUUAAGCUUCAGAAAGAAAAAACAAACCACUGAUUUGUAGAUUGGCUGUUUUGUUCCCUGAUGUGUUUUUAAAAGAAAUAAAUUC
Molecule: long non-coding RNA, 1047 nt
Organism: Lates calcarifer (barramundi perch)
Lineage: Eukaryota; Metazoa; Chordata; Actinopteri; Centropomidae
Exons: 4
Source: RefSeq, a predicted model, not a curated record